Long non-coding RNA from Olea europaea var. sylvestris, 757 nucleotides. RefSeq lists it as uncharacterized. The record is from RefSeq and is a predicted model, not a curated record. The transcript has 2 exons. Lineage: Eukaryota; Viridiplantae; Streptophyta; Magnoliopsida; Lamiales; Oleaceae.
CUCACUUUAUUUACCAAUUUUCCCCCAAAUCAAACCCUAUUCCCUCCUCUUUCCAUUUUCUCACAAGAUAUUCAACUCCAAAGCAUUCAUCUCUGAAAUCGCUCAGCUCUGAUAGUCUCCUAAUCUUCGACAGUCUCUUCCUCUCUGAAUACCGAGAAAUAACUCCAAAGCUUGCACUGGUUGCAGGAGUGUUGGAUACUUCUUCGGCGAUUGCCCAAUAAAGUGUCAAUGCCCACGUUGUAUACACGUAUUUCAAAAGUUUUCACAGUUGAAAAGGACAAUGUUAACAAAGGUAAAUUCUUCAAAUGUUGCAGUGAGAAAUGUGGGUUUUAGGAUCAAUUCAAAGAUGGAGAAGCAAUCAGUGAAUCGUGUAACGAUAGAGUUACCUUAACUAAACCAAUGGUGCACAAAGAGGUUUAAGAUAUGUUGCGAAUGUUCCAAUCUCAAGUUUGGCUAAAUAAUGAAGAAGAACUCUUGAUUUCUUGAAUGUGAAUGUGAUAGGAUAAAUCACAUGUCGAAGGAAAUGAAGGGGGUAGAGACGAUUUGAUUUGUGGUUAAUGUUUGGCUGGCAACAUGGGCUUUCGUAUAUUUCUGUAUAUAAUGCAUGACAUUUUGUAUCCUCUUCAAUCUGGACUAGUAUGAUUUUUGGUGAAGUAGUUAUGUGAAUUUUCUUGAAGCUGUGAUUCUCAAUUUGGUCAAUUAGUUUAGUGCAGUACAUUGGUUGGUUUUAAUAUCACUGGAUGUCUUAAUUUAUGUA